Molecule: small nucleolar RNA, 134 nt
Organism: Fukomys damarensis (Damara mole-rat)
Lineage: Eukaryota; Metazoa; Chordata; Mammalia; Rodentia; Bathyergidae
Gene: SNORA70
Rfam family: Small nucleolar RNA SNORA70
About the family: snoRNA U70 seems to be exclusive to mammals and is a member of the H/ACA class of snoRNA which contain H (ANANNA) and ACA box motifs. H/ACA box snoRNAs are involved in the conversion of uridines to pseudouridines (5-ribosyluracil) a constituent of structural RNAs (transfer, ribosomal, small nuclear, and small nucleolar).
Source: Ensembl
UUGCAGACCAUUGCACUGAUUGUGCCCACUUCCCUCUUGGGGACUCCAUGUGCUGUGGCUACAGACAGCAGUCUCUUUGGUAGUAUAUGUUGCUUUUAUGGGUUUCUGUGGCCCGAGGGACCCUGAAGUUAGCC